AAGUCGUAACAAGGUUUCCGUAGGUGAACCUGCGGAAGGAUCAUUACUGAGAGUACCGGGCUCUGCCUGGCUACUUUUACCCAUGUUUUUAGAGUACCAAAAGUUUCCUCGGCGGCUCUGCCCGCCGGUCGGUCUCCAUUCAAACCCUUUGCAGUUGCAGUCAGCGUCUGAUAAACAAAAUAAUUACAA
RNAcentral lists this unclassified non-coding RNA (189 nucleotides) under plant metagenome. Its description in RNAcentral is "partial contains small subunit ribosomal RNA and internal transcribed spacer 1". The stretch from base 1 to 46 matches the Rfam family "Eukaryotic small subunit ribosomal RNA", at positions 1786 to 1831 of the family's 1831-position model. The record is from RNAcentral.